RNAcentral lists this long non-coding RNA (797 nucleotides) under Taeniopygia guttata (zebra finch). RNAcentral's name for it is "lncRNA (ENSTGUG00000020431.1)". Lineage: Eukaryota; Metazoa; Chordata; Aves; Passeriformes; Estrildidae. The record is from RNAcentral.
AUGUUCCCAUGGGAUCUUGGGGAUGUUCCUGUAGGAUCUUUCUUCCAGGAUGUUCCUGUAGGAUCUUUGGAAUGUGUCUUCUGGGAUCUUUGGGGUUCCUGUGGGAUCUCCUGGGAGGUUUUGGGGUUCUGGGGUGGCUGGAGGGGCGUGGAGCCCACGGGGAGGCCGGGAAGGGCCGGGUGUGGGGGUCCCAGGACUGCACCCCCAAUUCAGCCUCGUCGAAGCCCCUUUGACCUUCCCCCUGCAUUUCCCCCCAUGGGGAUUUUGGGGGUUCCACUUUACCCCCCCUGCCUGAGGAAUUCCUGCUGCAGAGGGAAUUCACCCCAAAACGGGCCGGCUUUGUCCACAGGAUGUUGGUGGCCCCGGGGUUUUGGGGGUGACUCUGGUGCCCCACAAGGGACACGCUGCACAGGUGGCCAUGGGACACCUGCAAAUUUCCUUUUUGAAGCAUUUUUGGGUAUAAAGGGUGGGAGCCACCCCUUUCCUCACCCUUCCUGCUGCUUUUGGGGAUUUCAGAGCCCCCCUUGAAGGAAUUCACCACUGGGGAAUGUUUAACCCCUUUUUCAGCCACGACUCACAUCUAAUUUAACCAUUUGUUUUUCUUUUUCCACUUAAAUAUUCCCCUUAAAUACAGCAUUAUCAGGAAAAAGGAGCCAUUAUGAACGUGCCCAUUAUUCCCGGGCACGGCUGAGGAAAAAAAAAAUUGUAACGUUGAAUGAGAAGCUUUGGAAUCACAAAAUUUGUGAAAAUAAAACAAAAAUCCAGUGGGAGCUUGGAGGAAUUGAAGGGGACAUUGG